This 315-nucleotide unclassified non-coding RNA is filed under the name Coprinellus sp. Its description in RNAcentral is "partial internal transcribed spacer region". The stretch from base 1 to 46 matches the Rfam family "Eukaryotic small subunit ribosomal RNA", at positions 1786 to 1831 of the family's 1831-position model. Lineage: Eukaryota; Fungi; Basidiomycota; Agaricomycetes; Agaricales; Psathyrellaceae. RNAcentral also lists the same sequence under 1 other name. The record is from RNAcentral.
AAGUCGUAACAAGGUUUCCGUAGGUGAACCUGCGGAAGGAUCAUUAAUGAAUAACUUUGGCGUGGUUGUAGCUGGCUCUUAGGAGCAUGUGCACACCCGUCAUCUUUAUCUUUCCACCUGUGCACACUAUGUAGAUCUGGAUAACUCUCGCCCUUCUGAGCGGAAACAAGGAUUGCUGCGUCGCAAGGCCAGCUCUCUUUGAAUUUCCAGGUCUAUGUCAUUUACAAACCCCAAUUGAAUGAUGCAGAAUGUCGUCAAUGGGCUCUAAGCCUAUAAAACAAAAUACAACUUUCAGCAACGGAUCUCUUGGCUCUC